This 278-nucleotide ribosomal RNA is filed under the name uncultured bacterium. RNAcentral describes it as "partial 16S ribosomal RNA". It matches the Rfam family "Bacterial small subunit ribosomal RNA", at positions 335 to 630 of the family's 1533-position model. The record is from RNAcentral.
AUUCCUACGGGGGGCAGCAGUAGGGAAUAUUGCUCAAUGGGGGAAACCCUGAAGCAGCAACGCCGCGUGGAGGAUGAAGGUUUUCGGAUUGUAAACUCCUUUUGUUAGAGAGGAUAAUGACGGUAUCUACCGAAUAAGCACCGGCUAACUCCGAGCCAGCAGCCGCGGUAAUACGGAGGGUGCAAGCGUUACUCGGAAUCACUGGGCGUAAAGAGCGCGUAGGCGGGAUAGGAAGUCAGAUGUGAAAUCUUACGGCUUAGCCUUAGAACUGCAUUUCA